GACAGAGGUGCCGAGCGUUAGGCGGAAUCACUGGGCUUAAAGCGUGUGUAGGCGGACCGUUAAAUACCUUGUGAAAUCCCCCGGCUCAACCGGGGAACGGCUGGGUAUACUGGCGGUCUUGAGCCAUCCAGGGGCAGUCGGAACAGACGGUGGAGCGGUGAAAUGCGUAGAUAUCGUCAGGAAUGCCGGUGGUGAAGACGGGUGACUGGGCUGGUUCUGACACUGAGGCACGAAAGCGUGGGGAGCGAACGGG
Molecule: ribosomal RNA, 253 nt
Filed under: uncultured bacterium
Lineage: Bacteria
Description: partial 16S ribosomal RNA
Rfam family: Bacterial small subunit ribosomal RNA
Source: RNAcentral